GUGCCCACUUCGGCAGCACAUAUGCUACAAUUGGAACAAUACAGAGAAGAUUAGCAUGGCCCCUGGGCAAGGAUAAUACACAAAUUCGUGAAGCAUUUCAUAUUUUU
Molecule: small nuclear RNA, 107 nt
Filed under: Microcebus murinus (gray mouse lemur)
Lineage: Eukaryota; Metazoa; Chordata; Mammalia; Primates; Cheirogaleidae
Source: RNAcentral